UGGGGAAUCUUGCGCAAUGGGCGAAAGCCUGACGCAGCGACGCCGCGUGCGGGAUGAAGGCCUUCGGGUUGUAAACCGCUUUCAGCAGGGACGAAACUGACGGUACCUGCAGAAGAAGCCCCGGCCAACUACGUGCCAGCAGCCGCGGUAAUACGUAGGGGGCAAGCGUUGUCCGGAAUUAUUGGGCGUAAAGAGCUCGUAGGCGGUUUGGUAAGUCGGGUGUGAAAUCUCCAGGCUCAACCUGGAGGGGCCACUCGAUACUGCCAUGACUUGAGUCCGGUAGAGGAGCGUGGAAUUCCCGGUGUAGCGGUGAAAUGCGCAGAUAUCGGGAGGAACACCAGUAGCGAAGGCGGCGCUCUGGGCCGGUACUGACGCUGAGGAGCGAAAGCGUGGGGGAGCGAACAGGAUUAGAGACCCCGGUAG
RNAcentral lists this ribosomal RNA (423 nucleotides) under uncultured bacterium. RNAcentral describes it as "bacterial SSU rRNA". It matches the Rfam family "Bacterial small subunit ribosomal RNA", at positions 355 to 793 of the family's 1533-position model. The record is from RNAcentral.